AUCCGCCGCCUGUGAGGGCGGAAAUGACGUGAACAAUUGUAUUUUUUUAAGGCUGAGAAGGUCGCAAGGUACGACGGGAAUUGUAGUUCUCGGUAGGCGCCGGAGACAUACAGUCGGCUCGUCUGAAACCUGGGAGUGAUGAGGCUCUGGCAAAAUUUACUCUAAAGCUCGUUCUCGGCUGUUGGCAAAAAAUAAACCUUUCUAGUCACUUUUCCGUGAAAAUCUUAAGAAGAGCAGACACCUUUUUCAGACUCUUUUCAGUGGGGUUAUAUAAAGAACCUGUUUAUAAGGUUCUAAGCAAAACUGUUAGAAGCGUUAAGUGCCUAUAAAGUUCCAAGAUUUCAAGCCUACGGGAAUGGGACCACAGACAAAGUGAAGUAAUGAGGAGAAGCUAAGUUUGUAGAGAGGAUGAUGCCUCUGUUUGAGUUUAAGGUACCAGCUGGGAAGACAUCCUGAGGAUAAGGAGACUGGCUGGCCAAUUUGGAAAUAGCCGACUGUGCAGAGAUCAGAGCCAAACUGCCAAUCAAGUGUGAAGAUAGAAUAAAGAUACUUCCGAAAGCAAGGCCUCAAAUCAUUUGCCUCUGAUGCAUCCUUUCUUAGAAAUUUACUAUGGAAUUUUCACCAAAACAAAGAUACAAACCAGGACCAUAGAGUGAACUCCUAAAUCCUUUCAACGAACAAGCUCGCCCCCAUUCCCUGCCUGUUCCAUCACAUCACAUCUUGUUCCUCCUCUUUGGUAUGCCGAUCACAAGAGUGGGUGAAAGGUGAUGGAGUCUGAAAAUUUCAGCCAUUUUAAACAGAAUCCCGGGAAAGAGUAACUGUGGAACAUGAACCAAGUGACUGGGGCAAAUCUGAGGAAAGGAGGCAGCUUUACCAAAUUUAAUUUAAAAAGAAAUAGGACACAUAAAAACAAUCAGAAAGAUGAAAAAGGAUUAACCCAGGCUGUCUAAAAAUACUUUAUCCU
Zalophus californianus (California sea lion) is the source of this 964-nucleotide long non-coding RNA. RefSeq lists it as uncharacterized. Lineage: Eukaryota; Metazoa; Chordata; Mammalia; Carnivora; Otariidae. The record is from RefSeq and is a predicted model, not a curated record. The transcript is spliced from 5 exons.